Molecule: long non-coding RNA, 4634 nt
Filed under: Salvia miltiorrhiza (redroot sage)
Lineage: Eukaryota; Viridiplantae; Streptophyta; Magnoliopsida; Lamiales; Lamiaceae
Description: long non-coding RNA (SMIL_LNC005898)
Source: RNAcentral
CAUAUCCAAAAACCAGACCAAGAUAACCCCCACCUUAAGCUUCAACUUUGAUAGAAUCAAAACCUAUUUUGUCUCCUGGCACAGGGUGAGGACCAAAACAUUGUCCAAGUCUACAUAACAAAUAAACAAUAAUUACAGAGCAAAGGUGACCAAUUAGCAAACCAGAACAGCCUUCCCGUGAAGCUUGAUUAAAAACCACACAGCGAUCAGGCAUCUGGAAAUUGAUGAGAACAACGGUAAGCAUGGGAAAGUCUAGGUAGAAGAUAAAAGAUAGUAAAAAAAAAAAAAACUAUUCUAUACUCUCUUUGCCAGGCCCACACCACUAUAUCAAUGACAGCAUCAAAGGUAGAUCCGUGUUCAAUAACCAGGCCAACAUUAGCCACACCAUAAGCUCCUUCUUUCAAAACUUAAUUUUUAUCUCCUAUCAUAGGGUGAGGCAGAGAACAAUAUCCACGUCUACAUAACAACAAAAAAUUGUUGAAACUGACAAAAGAUAACCAAGAAAACAAGAAGUGCCAUCCAUUAUGGAAAUUGAAGAGUAUAACUAUAAACACGGGAAACUCUAGGUAGAAGAGAAAAUGUAGUAGAAAAAAAAAAUACUAUUAUGUAUUUCCUUUGCGACCCUCGAUUUACAAUAUACCAAUGAUAACAUCAAAGAUCUGUCCGCGUCCAAAAACCAGACCAAGAUAGCCCCCACAUUAAGCUCCUACAGUGAUGGAAUCAAAACCUAUUUUGUAUCUCCUGUCACAGGGUAGGCCCAAAACAAUAUCCAAGUCUAUAUAACAACAAAAGAAAUAUAAUAGAGAGAUCAAAUGCAACCAAUUAUGAACCCAGAACUGCCUUCCAGUUAAGCUUGAUUAAGAACCACACAACGAUCAGGCAUCUGGAAAUUGAAGAGAAUAACAAUAAGCACGGGAAAGUCAAGAUGGAAGAUAAAUUGUAGCAGAAUUAAUACAAUACUAUACUCCCUCUGACACCCUCGAUAAACAUUAUAUCAGUGACAGCAUCAAAAGUUGAUAUGUCUCCAAUAACUAGACCAAGAUUAGCCCCACCAUAAGCUGCUUCUUUCACAACUUAAUUUUUAACCCCUGUCACAAGGUGAGGCAGAAAACAAUAUCCACGUCUACGUAACAAAUAAAAGAUUGUUGAAACUGACAAAAGAUAACCAAGCAUACCAGAAGUGCCUUCCAGUUAAGAACCACACAACAAUCAGACAUCUGGAAAUUGAAGAGUAUAACUAUUAGCACGGGAAACUCUAGGUAGAAGAGAAAAUGUAGUAGAAAAAAAAUACUAUUAUGUACUCCAUGUACUCCCUUUACCACCCACAUUAAACUAUAUCAAUGACAGCAUGAAGGAUUUGUCAGUGUACCAAAAACCAGACCAAGACACGCCCCCACCUUAAGCUCCUACUUUGAUAGAAUCAGAACCUAUUUUGUAUCUCCUAUCACAGGGUGAGGCUGAAACCAACAUCGAGUCUAAAUAACAACAAAAGAACUACAAUAGAGAGAGCAAAGGUAACCAACUAUCAAACCCGAACUGCCGUCCAGUAAGCUUGAUUAAGAACCACACAACGAUCGGGCAUCUGGAAAUGGAAGAGAAUAACGAUAAGCACCGGAAGGUCUAGAUGGAAGAUAAAUUGUAUUAGAAGAAAUACUAUACUAACUCCCUCUGCCACCCUCGAAAAACAUAUCAUGACCAUCAAAGGAUUGAUUGUGUGCAAUAACUGACUAAGAUUAGCCCUACCUUAAGCCCUACUUUGAUAAAAUUAAAACUUAAUUUUUAUCUCAUGUCAUAGGGUGGGGCAGAAAACAAUAUCACGUCUAUGUACAAACAAAAAUUGUUGAAAUGACAAAAGAUAACCAAACAUCAAACCAGAAGUGUCAUCCAGUUAAGAACCACCCCACGAUCAGACAUCUGGAAAUUGAAGAGUAUAUCUAUAAGCACGGGAAACUCUAGGUAGAAGAGAAAAUGUAUAGAAAUAAAAAUACUAUUAUGUACUCCCUUUGCCACCCUCGAUUAACACAAUAUCAAUGACUCAUCAAAGAUCUGUCCGCGUCCAAAAACCAGACCAAGAUAGCCCCCACAUUAAGCUCCUACAGUGAUGGAAUCAAAACCUAUUUUGUAUCUCCUGUCACAGGGUAGGCCCAAAACAAUAUCCAAGUCUAUAUAACAACAAAAGAAUAUAAUAGAGAGAUCAAAUGCAACCAAUUAUGAACCCAGAACUGCCUUCCAGUUAAGCUUGAUUAAGAACCAAACAACGAUCAGGCAUCUGGAAAUCGAAGAGAAUAACAAUAAGCACGGGAAAGUCAAGAUGGAAGAUAAAUUGUAGCAGAAUUAAUACAAUACUAUACUCCCUCUGACACCCUCGAUAAACAUUAUAUCAGUGACAGCAUCAAAAGUUGAUGUCUCCAGUAACUAGACCAAGAUUAGCCCCACCAUAAGCUGCUUCUUUCACAACUUAAUUUUUAACUCCUGUCACAAGGUGAGGCAGAAAACAAUAUCCACGUCUACGUAACAAAUAAAAGAUUGUUGAAACUGACAAAAGAUAACCAAGCAUACCAGAAGUGCCUUCCAGUUAAGAACCACACAACAAUCAGACAUCUGGAAAUUGAAGAGUAUAACUAUUAGCACGGGAAACUCUAGGUAGAAGAGAAAAUGUAGGUAGAAAAAAAAUACUAUUAGUACUCCCUUUACCACCCACUAUUAACACUAUAUCAAUGACAGCAUGAAGGAUUUGUCAGUGUCCAAAAACCAGACCAAGACAGCCCCCACCUUAAGCUCCUACUUGAUAGAAUCAGAACCUAUUUUGUAUCUCCUAUCACAGGGUGAGGCUGAAACCAACAUCCGAGUCUAAAUAACAACAAAAGAACUACAAUAGAGAGAGCAAAGGUAACCAACUAUCAAACCCGAACUGCCGUCCAGUUAAGCUUGAUUAAGAACCACACAACGAUCGGGCAUCUGGAAAUGAAGAGAAUAACGAUAAGCACCGGAAGGUCUAGAUGGAAGAUAAAUUGUAUAGAAGAAAUACUAUACUAUACUCCCUCUGCCACCCUCGAUAAACACACUAUAUAGUGACCACGUCAAAGGAUUGACUUGUGUGCAAUAACUUGACUAAGAUUAGCCCUACCUUAAGCUCCUACUUGAUAAAAUUAAAACUUAAUUUUUAUCUCAUGUCAUAGGGUGGGGCAGAAAACAAUAUCCACGUCUAUGUAGCAAACAAAAUUGUUGAACUGACAAAAGAUAACCAAACAUCAAACAGAAGUGUCUCCAGUUAAGAACCACCCCACGAUCAGACAUCUGGAAAUUGAAGAGUAUAUCUAUAAGCACGGGAAACUCGAGGUAGAAGAGAAAAUGUAGUAGAAUAAAAAUACUAUUAUGUACUCCCUUUGCCACCCUCGAUUAACACAAUAUCAAUGACUACAUCAAAGAUCUGUCGCGUCCAAAAACCAGACCAAGAUAGCCCCCACAUUAAGCUCCUACAGUGAUGGAAUCAAAACCUAUUUUGUAUCUCCUGUCACAGGGUAGGCUCAAAACAAUAUCCAAGUCUAUAUAACAACAAAAGAAAUAUAAUAGAGAGAUCAAAUGCAACCAAUUAUGAACCCAGAACUGCCUUCCAGUUAAGCUUGAUUAAGAACCAAACAACGAUCAGGCAUCUGGAAAUCGAAGAGAAUAACAAUAAGCACGGGAAAGUCAAGAUGGAAGAUAAAUUGUAGCAGAAUUAAUACAAUACUAUACUCCCUCUGACACCCUCGAUAAACAUUAUAUCAGUGACAGCAUCAAAAGUUGAUAGUCUCCAUAACUAGACCAAGAUUAGCCCCACCAUAAGUGCUUCUUUCACAACUUAAUUUUUAACCCCUGUCACAAGGUGAGGCAGAAAACAAUAUCCACGUCUACGUAACAAAUAAAAGAUUGUUGAAACUGACAAAAGAUAACCAAGCAUACCAGAAGUGCCUUCCAGUUAAGAACCACACAACAUCAGACAUCUGGAAAUUGAAGAGUAUAUCUAUAGCACGGGAAAUUCUAGGUAGAAGAGAAAAUGUAGUAGAAAAAAAAUACUAUUAUGUACUCCCUUUCCACCCCGAUUAAACAUAUCAAUGACCAUAAGAUUGUCGGUCCAAAAACCAGACCAAGACAGCCCCCACCUUAAGCUCCUACUUUGAUAGAAUCAGAACCUAUUUUGUAUCUCCUAUCACAGGGUGAGGCUGAAACCAACAUCGAGUCUAAAUAACAACAAAAGAACUACAAUAGAGAAAGCAAAGGUAACCAACUAUCAAACCCGAACUGCCGUCCAGUUAAGCUUGAUUAAGAACCACACAACGAUCGGGCAUCUGGAAAUGGAAGAGAAUAACGAUAAGCACCGGAAGGUCUAGAUGGAAGAUAAAUUGUAUUAGAAGAAAUACUAUCUAUACUCCCUCUGCCACCCUCGAUAAACACACUAUAUCAGUGACCACGUCAAAGGAUUGACUUGUGUGCAAUAACUUGACUAAGAUUAGCCCUACUUAAGCUCCUACUUUGAUAAAAUUAAAACUUAAUUUUUAUCUCAUGUCAUAGGGUGGGGCAGAAAACAAUAUCCACGUCUAUGUACAAACAAAAUUGUUGAAAUGACAAAAGAUAACCAAACAUCAAACCAGAAG